Vidua chalybeata is the source of this 5973-nucleotide RNA transcript. It is a transcript of the gene named SV2 related protein, with no coding region annotated. The record is from RefSeq and is a predicted model, not a curated record. Lineage: Eukaryota; Metazoa; Chordata; Aves; Passeriformes; Viduidae. The transcript is spliced from 18 exons.
GCCCGAGCCCGCCAUGCGGGAGCGAUGAGCGCAGCCGCCGCCCGGCCAUGGAGGAGGAUUUGUUCCAGCUGAAGCAGCUGCCGGUGGUGAAGUUCCGCCGCACGGGGGAGAGCUUGAGGUCGGAGGAGGAUGGAAUUUCGGGAGAGCACGAGGUGCAGAUCGAGGGGGUGAGGACGGAGCUGGAGCCCGUGGAGCUGGGGGAUGGAGCUGCAGUGCCCAAGGAAUUCGCCAACCCCACGGAUGAUACUUUCAUGGUGGAGGAUGCAGUGGAAGCCAUUGGAUUUGGGAAGUUCCAGUGGAAGCUCUCUGUCAUUACUGGAUUGGCAUGGAUGGCAGAUGCCAUGGAAAUGAUGAUUUUAAGUAUCCUUGCUCCUCAGCUGCACUGUGAGUGGCGCUUACCCAGCUGGCAGGUUGCAUUGCUCACCUCGGUGGUGUUUGUGGGAAUGAUGUCCAGCUCCACACUCUGGGGAAACAUUUCAGACCAGUAUGGGAGGAAAACAGGCCUGAAGAUCAGCGUGUUGUGGACUCUCUACUAUGGGAUCCUCAGUGGAUUUGCUCCCAUUUACAGCUGGAUCCUGGUGCUGAGGGGCCUGGUGGGCUUUGGGAUUGGAGGAGUGCCUCAGUCGGUAACAUUAUAUGCUGAGUUCCUUCCAAUGAAAGCCAGAGCAAAAUGCAUUUUAUUAAUAGAGGUGUUCUGGGCCCUUGGGACUGUUUUUGAAGUGCUGCUGGCAGUGGUGGUGAUGCCCACGCUCGGCUGGCGCUGGCUCCUCAUCCUCUCUGCCCUCCCACUCCUGCUCUUUGCUGGCCUGUGUUUUUGGCUGCCAGAAAGUGCCAGGUAUGAUGUGUUAUCUGGGAACCAGGAGAAAGCUCUGGCCACUUUGAAGAGGAUUGCCACAGAAAAUGGAGCUCCAAUGCCCCUGGGAAAGCUGGUGGUUUCCAGACAGGAGGACCGAGGCAAGAUGAGGGAUCUUUUCACCCCCCAUUUCCGCUGGACCACCUUGUUGCUCUGGUUUAUUUGGUUUUCCAAUGCUUUUUCAUAUUAUGGGUUAGUUUUAUUAACUACAGAGCUCUUCCAAGCAGGAGAUGUUUGCAGCAUAUCCAGCAGAAGGCAGGAAGUAAAAGCCAAGUGCAGCCUGACCUGUGAGUACCUGACAGAGGAAGAUUACACUGACCUGCUCUGGACAACCCUGUCAGAAUUCCCUGGGGUGUUGGUGACCCUGUGGAUCAUCGACCGCAUCGGCCGCAAGAAAACCAUGGCCCUGUCCUUCCUUGUCUUCUCCUUUUGCAGCCUCCUGCUCUUUCUCUGUGUUGGAAGAAAUGUUCUUACUGUGCUGCUCUUCAUUGCAAGAGCUUUUAUUUCAGGAGGAUUUCAGGCUGCCUAUGUUUACACUCCUGAGGUUUAUCCCACAGCCACACGUGCUUUGGGCCUGGGAACGUGCAGUGGAAUGGCCAGAGUGGGAGCCCUCAUAACCCCGUUCAUUGCACAGGUGAUGUUGGAAUCUUCAGUCUAUCUGACUCUGCUGGUUUACAGUGGCUGCUGCCUGCUGGCUGCCCUGGCCUCCUGCUUCCUGCCCAUCGAGACCAAGGGCCGUGGCCUGCAGGAGUCCAGCCACAAGGAAUGGGGCCAGGAGAUGGUGGGCAGAGGAUCUCAUUCCCCAGGGGAAUCCCAGGAAUGAUGGGACAUGGAAACCUGCUGGAAGAAUGAGGGAUAGGAGCAAGAUGUCUCACAAAACCUCCGAGCCUGAAGCAUGGAAAGCUGACCACCAUCACUGCCAUCCUCACGUGUCAAACUGCAGGAGUUUGGGGUUGAACCUCAGCAAAUUGUGUUUCUGCUGCUCUUUGCUCACACUCAUAAAAAAUUUUUGGAUGGAGAAGCCUUUGAUCCAGAUACCCUUGGAAGUUUAGCAGGAGGGGUUUCUCUUCAGUCUGUCAUGCUUGCAUGGUCAGCUCUUCAGCUUAAAAUGUCCUGUGCCAAGCAAAUGCCAAGUGACUGCAGCCCAGCAUAAGCUGUCAUUAAAACACUGAGCUCUUGAUGCCUAAAACCAAGAGGUUCAUCUUUAGUGUGGCCCUGGCCUGGCACAGGGUGGAUUCCAUCCCUACCACUAUGGAUUAAAUGCCUGCCUUGCACUUUCAGCCAUCAAAACCAUCACCAAAAUGUGGUUCCGUCAAACCGACGCAGGCUUUCCAGCUGGGUUUUGUUCCUGGAGAGUGCAUUGCUUGGAAACUGAUUCCUGACUGUUUCUCCCAUCCCAGGUGGGUAGUUGGAGCAGGGAGGGUGGUGUUUGCUGCAGAGCUGGCACCUUGUAGCAGAAAUGUAAAUCACAGAGUCAUUAAGGUUGGAAAAGACCUCCAAGCUCAUCGAGUCCAAUGUGUAAAUCCUCAUGUCUUGGAGCAGGAUUGGACUUCUCUGGCAUUGCCAGGGGCCUUGAGCUCUCUGUCUGUUGCUUGGAGCGAGGAGGUUCUCACUCCUGGGGUUCUCUGUGUGGAUCCAGGUGUGUCCCUGCUCCAUUACCUGGGCACAUCCUCAUGCUGGGGUAGCCCCAGCCGGAGUCAGGAGCUGCUGUUGGGAUGGAGCCACUCCCUGGCAGCUGGGCAGGACCUUUCCUGCUGACUGUACAUUGACUGGUGACAAAGGAAUGUAGCUGGAAUAAAUGAACAAAACCAUGGGAAGAGCCCAUCUGCAGUGCUCUUGGAUGAGGAACAUCCCUCCUUCAGGUGUGGCUCCUCAAGGGAUGAUCCCACUCUUGUCAGGGAAUGUAACAGAGCUCAGGAAAGGACAGGCUCAUCUGGUUUGUCACAAACCUGUCCCUGGGCACAAGUCAGGUGCCAGAGUCUGUGGGAAUGUGUAGAGAUCUGAGAUGUGCCUCAUCAAGGUCUCAGUGGAUGUUCAGGAUUCCAGACCUUGGGACACACAGCCAAACGUAGGUGAGAUGGACUUGGUGAGGCUGUGGGAGCAGUGGGGGUUUGUGGCCUGUCUGAGCAAGUGGCUCACCUGAACACAGGUAAAUGUGCAACACAUUUUUACAGUUGAAGAUUUUAAGUAUCCUGGGAAGCAGGGCCCAUUCCUGGGGUCAGCAAUAGGUCUCCAAGUCCAUGUUUGGUGCAGUACAAGUGAGCACUGUGGGGCACAGCUGUCACUGAGGGACACAGCUCUGAGGUCACUGCAGUGUUCCACCACGUGCCAGGCUGCUCGUUUGGAGACUGAGGGGAAAACAGGAGUGGAAAAUUCCUUAAAGAAAGCCAGGAAACUCAGGCUGAUGGAAAAGGCCAAAGAGGUUGAAAUUGUGUGAGGGGGGAUGUUCUGCUGAGAACUGAGUUUGCCAAGGCACCGAGUGUCCAUCCAGUCCCAGUGGAGGCUGGUGAGUGAAGGAUUCCAGGAAAGAUUGGUGGAAACAGGCAAACUUGGCUUUUCCCAGCGAGAUGAAAAUGAAUUCAGCUCCCAAGAGAUCCUUGGGCUCCCUGGGCUCAGCUGUGGGUGAUGGCACAGAACCCUCUGUCCGUUCCAGCUGGGUUGGUUCCCUUUGUGUCCCCUGUCCCUGUGUCCUCACACUCCACCAAAAUCAAGCUCCAGCUGAUCCCAGUAAACAGACAGGGCUCUCAUGGCACUGACACCAACCACAGCUCAUUUGUUCACCUCCUUCUGCCAGGCUGGAGUUGGGUCCUUCUCUCUGUGUGCCUAGGGCAGCCUGGAGCAGAACCAGAGGGACUUGUUCUAUGGAAUGCCAGAAUUCCAAAGUGAUUUGGGUUGGGAGGCACUUAAAGCUCAUCCAGGCAGGGACACUUUCCACUAGACCAGGAUGCUCCAAGCUCCAUCCAUACCUGACCUUGAACACUUCCAGGAAUGGGGAACCUCUGCUUUCACUUGGACUGGCCUCUGAUAUGCUGGAUGUGGAACACAGCAGUGAAGAAGCAGAUCCUGGAUGGGUUUAAUCAGAUAUUACCCCACAUGUGUGGCCAGUGGGCUGGAAAAGCUGCUGGAGCUGGGAUCUGCUGGAGCUGGGAUCUGCUGGAGCUGAGUUUGCCUGUGCACAGUCAGGCUGUUCACCCCUCAGUGACAGCUCUGAAAUUCCAUCCUCAUCCUGCUGCUGGUGGAGGCCCUCGAGGCCAUUCCAGUCCCCCAGGUGUUUCCAUGCUUCCUUCCUUGGGCUUGCCAUGAGCUGUGUUUGCAUCCCAAAUCUCUGGAAUUGAGCCUGGGUAGAGGUGACAGAGAAUCCAAAGUGCAGGACAGGCCUGCCCUGAAGGAAUUCCCCCCCACCAUGGCCCAGUUUGUUACUCAAUGCCUUGGGUUAAAAUUCUGCUUUCCCAGGGGCAAUGUUCACAUCUCACUUCAUUUUUUUAGGUGAAUUAUUCAGCAGUUUUAAAGAAUUGCAUUCAACGGCCUUUAGAGAGUUUUAGGUGAAGUUUAUCUGUUCAUGCACACCUGGAUCCUACAGAUAAGCUGCUUCCCAGAUGUAAAGAAAAGUCACAGGAAUCCUGUUCCCAUUGUUCCCUGGUCUGCUUGGAAUCUGGAGUGAUGACUCCUACUCCUCCAGGAUGAAAUGUUUAGGAAAAAUGUGUGUGGAGACAUGGAAUGAUGAUCUCCUGGGACAUUUCUGUGGAAUCAGCAUUUGAGGCCCUUCCUGUGCCAUCACCAAGAGGAGGAACCAUCAUGCACAAGAGAUUUGAACAUUCCUUUUAUUGGUCACACAGAUUAAAAUGAGGGCUUUAGAAAACAAACAGAGUUAACCUGCAAAUAAAAUUACAGAUCAGCUCAUUCCUGUUUGCCAGGAGGCCGUGUGAGAUCACAGGGCAGUGGCUCCUGCAGGCUCUGAGAUCACAAGAAUCAGCUGCUUGUUGCCAGGUGUACAGUGAUUUCCUACACCCCUGUUCAUCCAGUGGAAUUUUCCCAAAAUCACCAAAGUGGGGCUGGAUUUACAGCAGAGAAUGUGCUGCUGAAUGUCUCAUAUUUGGAAUAAGUGAAACUGAGGGGAUCCAGUUCCCCUGGAUGGCUUUUCCUGGUGUGGGAUCACAGACCAUUGAGUUCAGCAUUAAUCAGCAGGGAAUUUAUUUACCUUUAUUUACCUUUUCCUGACUUUACCUACUGACUGCAGCAUUUCCAGGGAAGCUGGAAAUUCUUUGGACAGUCUGGGCAUGGCAGUGGCUCCCAAUUUCUCCUGCCCAGCUGUGUUUGCUAAGCCCAGCAGGGAGAUGCCCACGCUGCUGAGCUAUUCCUGGCACACGGAGUCAUCAGGAGAGAGGAGCUGCACCACGGAUGAGUAAGGAACACUUGGCUUAUCCACACAGGAGAGUGAGCCAGGCACUGUGCUGGGCUCACAACAGCCUUUGGAUUUGAGGCUUCCUGACCAUCCAGUGCCCUGUCUGGGCAGGAAAGACACGUGGCAUGGGAAGAUCAGCCAGACUGUGUCUUCAAGAACAGUGUGUUGGGUCCCCAACAGCAUCCCUGAACACCCCAAAAAGUCCUGCUCCUCCUCUGAGAAGCACAACCUUUCCCAAGCCAGGCCUUCUCUCUGAGCUGUCCCACAGCUGGGAGAAAUGGGAAGCUGAGGGAGUUUUAGGGACAAGAAGAGCUAUUUUCUUAUGCUCUGUGCUAUAUAUAGAGUCUGGCAAGCCCACAGGGCUGGAACAAGUUGCUUUUGUUGCUAAAACUUCGUUUGGAAAGGCCAUUUUAGGCAAGUGCUGCUGUCUGGUGCCAGCUACACUAAGCAGGUGCUGUGGCCUGAGAUUUGUCCUGGCAGGAAUGGGAGGAAAACUGGUGUAACCCAGGCAUGUGCUCCCAGAGCUGCUGUUACUUCCCUGGGAGCCUCAGAGCUUCUUCCUACUAAGGAGCUUUUGCCUCCUGGGGGGGAGCCUGUAAAUCUAAUUACACACUGGGUGUUGGAGCAGCCAGCAGAGACCUCAGGUGUCCCCAGCUCUGUUUCAGAUCCUGUCCCCUGGUGCAAAUGAACUGCAGGACUGUCCAGGGUUCAGCUGAAC